UGGGGAAUUUUGGACAAUGGGCGAAAGCCUGAUCCAGCAAUGCCGCGUGUGUGAAGAAGGCCUUCGGGUUGUAAAGCACUUUUGUCCGGAAAGAAAUCCUCUGGGUUAAUACCUCGGGGGGAUGACGGUACCGGAAGAAUAAGCACCGGCUAACUACGUGCCAGCAGCCGCGGUAAUACGUAGGGUGCAAGCGUUAAUCGGAAUUACUGGGCGUAAAGCGUGCGCAGGCGGUUUUGUAAGACGGAUGUGAAAUCCCCGGGCUUAACCUGGGAACUGCAUUCGUGACUGCAAGGCUAGAGUAUGGCAGAGGGGGUAGAAUUCCACGUGUAGCAGUGAAAUGCGUAGAGAUGUGGAGGAAUACCGAUGGCGAAGGCAGCCCCCUGGGCCAAUACUGACGCUCAUGCACGAAAGCGUGGGGAGCAAACAGGAUUAGAUACCCUGGUAGUCCACGCCCUAAACGAUGUCAACUAGUUGUUGGGGAUUCAUUUCCUUAGUAACGUAGCUAACGCGUGAAGUUGACCGCCUGGGGAGUACGGUCGCAAGAUUAAAACUCAAAUGAAUUGACGGGGUCAUAGCUGUUUCCU
RNAcentral lists this ribosomal RNA (584 nucleotides) under uncultured bacterium. RNAcentral describes it as "partial 16S ribosomal RNA". It matches the Rfam family "Bacterial small subunit ribosomal RNA", at positions 355 to 1375 of the family's 1533-position model. The record is from RNAcentral.